This 600-nucleotide ribosomal RNA is filed under the name uncultured bacterium. Its description in RNAcentral is "bacterial SSU rRNA". It matches the Rfam family "Bacterial small subunit ribosomal RNA", at positions 85 to 681 of the family's 1533-position model. The record is from RNAcentral.
ACCUGAUUCAGCGGCGGGCGGGUGAGUAAUGCCUAGGAAUCUGCCCGGUAGUGGGGGACAACGUUUCGAAAGGAACGCUAAUACCGCAUACGUCCUACGGGAGAAAGUGGGGGAUCUUCGGACCUCACGCUAUCGGAUGAGCCUAGGUCGGAUUAGCUAGUUGGUGAGGUAAUGGCUCACCAAGGCGACGAUCCGUAACUGGUCUGAGAGGAUGAUCAGUCACACUGGAACUGAGACACGGUCCAGACUCCUACGGGAGGCAGCAGUGGGGAAUAUUGGACAAUGGGCGAAAGCCUGAUCCAGCCAUGCCGCGUGUGUGAAGAAGGUCUUCGGAUUGUAAAGCACUUUAAGUUGGGAGGAAGGGCAGUAAGUUAAUACCUUGCUGUUUUGACGUUACCAACAGAAUAAGCACCGGCUAACUUCGUGCCAGCAGCCGCGGUAAUACGAAGGGUGCAAGCGUUAAUCGGAAUUACUGGGCGUAAAGCGCGCGUAGGUGGUUCAGCAAGUUGGAUGUGAAAGCCCCGGGCUCAACCUGGGAACUGCAUCCAAAACUACUGAGCUAGAGUACGGUAGAGGGUGGUGGAAUUUCCUGUGUAGCGG